RNAcentral lists this ribosomal RNA (1247 nucleotides) under metagenome. RNAcentral describes it as "bacterial SSU rRNA". It matches the Rfam family "Bacterial small subunit ribosomal RNA", at positions 9 to 1228 of the family's 1533-position model. The record is from RNAcentral.
CAGUUUGAUUCUGGCUCAGAAUGAACGCUGGCGGCGUGCUUAACACAUGCAAGUCGAACGAGAAAGGGACUGCUUGCAGUCCUGAGUAGAGUGGCGCACGGGUGAGUAACACGUGGAUAAUCUACCUUUGAAUCCGGGAUAACUGUUCGAAAGAAUCGCUAAUACCGGAUGAAGUCAUUGAGUCCUCGGAUCCAAUGAUGAAAGACAGCCUCUUCCUGAAAGCUGUUGUUUGAAGAUGAGUCCGCGCACCAUUAGUUUGUUGGUGGGGUAACGGCCUACCAAGACCAUGAUGGUUAGCUGGUCUGAGAGGAUGAUCAGCCACACUGGAACUGACACACGGUCCAGACUCCUACGGGAGGCAGCAGUGAGGAAUUUUGCGCAAUGGGGGAAACCCUGACGCAGCAACGCCGCGUGAGUGAAGAAGGCCCUUGGUCGUAAAACUCUGUCAAUGGGGAAGAAAUUGCUUCAUAUUAAUAGUAUGUUGCAUUGACGGUACCCAUGAAGGAAGCACCGGCUAACUCCGUGCCAGCAGCCGCGGUAAUACGGGGGGUGCAAGCGUUAUUCGGAAUUAUUGGGCGUAAAGGGCACGCAGGCGGUCUUGCCAGUCAGAUGUGAAAGCCCGGGGCUCAACCCUGGAAGUGCAUUUGAAACUACAAGACUUGAGUACGGUAGAGGAAAGGGGAAUUCCUGGUGUAGAGGUGAAAUUCGUGGAUAUCAGGAGGAACACCGGUGGCGAAGGCGCCUUUCUGGACCGAAACUGACGCUGAGGUGCGAAGGCGUGGGUAGCGAACAGGAUUAGAUACCCUGGUAGUCCACGCAGUAAACGUUGUAUACUAGGUGUAGCGGGUAUUGACCCCUGCUGUGCCGGAGCUAACGCAUUAAGUAUACCGCCUGGGAAGUACGGUCGCAAGACUAAAACUCAAAGAAAUUGACGGGGGCCCGCACAAGCGGUGGAGCAUGUGGUUUAAUUCGACGCAACGCGCAGAACCUUACCCAGACUUGACAUCCUGAGAAUCUGUUAGAGAUAUUAGAGUGCCUUCGGGAACUCAGAGACAGGUGCUGCAUGGCUGUCGUCAGCUCGUGUCGUGAGAUGUUCGGUUAAGUCCGGCAACGAGCGCAACCCCUAUCUUCAGUUGCCAGCACAUCAUGGUGGGAACUCUGAAGAGACUGCCCCGGUUAACGGGGAGGAAGGUGGGGAUGACGUCAAGUCCUCAUGGCCCUUAUGUCUGGGGCUACACACGUGCUAC